ACUCAAAUCUUUCUUGAUAAUAUUCUUCAAACAAAACAACUUUAAUUUUUUAUUUUCUUUGUGUUUUACUGUCGAGAGAGAAAAAGAGGAAAGGGUGAAGAUGGAGUUGUUGAAAACGUGAAGAAGACGAUGAUUCUUGAUGAGAUUUUUGGCAUGCAGUGAUAGGAGAAAGAAGAAGAACACCAGAGAGUUAACAUGGUUCGACAAUAAGAGCCUACAUCAACGAGAGGAGCUAAUAUUUCAGAUUUCUUGGGGAGAUUAUAAGAUACAUAUGAGUUUCUUUAUAGUCUGGUUAUUUUGUACUCAUAUGAAUUUUCUGCUUUUUAUCCUUUAUUUAUAGGAUGAGUUACAAGGUAGUUAUGUGAGAAAAUAACAAAAAGUAAAGGUUGAUUUCUCCAUAUUAGCUAUUGUUUUGAUAGAUCGGGUAGAUAUAAAUGAUUUUCUAAUCAUUUUUUUUUAUAGAUCUAACUUUUUUUUUUUAGUAUACAUGAACGAUUUUAUAAUAGAUCUAAUUUUUUUUUUUUUAAUAUUUGGUUUCUCGCUAAAGAUUUGUAUGUUGUUGUCUUGAUUUCUUCAUGUUUUAUUCGUCCUUGCAUGUUUGAUUUUCCGAUUGUUAUUAGCUUUGUACUUUAUCUGAUUUUGGACUAUUCUGAUUUAGCUUCCAUUCCAAUUUGGGUAUCUUUUUUGCUUGCAUGUUUGUGAUUAACUAGGGUUUACUCUUAUAAAUUGUUCUCGGUCUCUUACAAUUUGUUUCCACUGGCUCAAAUGGGAUCUAUUUUUUUUAUCCAUUUAUAUUGUAUUUACUUCAUCUAUGUUCUUCCUUCCCCUGUUGAUAUCUGUUAUGUUUUCUAAUUGUCUUCCAUACUUUUUUCUUCCAGAUUUCCUCCUAUCACUUCAAUAAUAAACCACGUGUCCUUCCCUUGCCCUUUUUCUUAUUCUUUUUCAUCAAAAUUGAAUGGCAAGUAAAUUCUUGGUAGAGGAUAUUGACCAUGUUAUUGGAGCUUGGUGGGGUCAAUCCACCCCAACAACAGGCUCUGAGUCGAUUCUUCUACCCCUAGUUAUGGACUAUCUCAACCUUCAUUCAUUCCAAACAUAAUCAAAGGGCCGAAACUAAUCAAACAUACCUUUCGUACUAGUUUGAGGUUUGUAAGUUUAAAAAGUACACUUCAAAUUUGUAUAGAAUAAAAAAAAUUGUUUUUAUUUAUAUAAAAAAUAGCUAUAAAUACAUAAAGUUAACACUACAAGAAAAAUGGACUCUCCAGACGUUUAAAACAACCGUCGGAAUAUCGGUCGUCGGGAGAGAGACCAUCUCCCGACGAAGUAAGAAGGUCGAGAACUCCCGACGAAUUAUUUAAUGCGUCGGGAGUUCUAACGGUCUAUGGGAGAGCGUAGGGAGUUCCCAUUUAAAUUCCAGCCCCUCGUUUUCUUCCCUAAAUCUGCUUAUUUUCUCCCUUUUAAACCUUAGUACAGUAGCGAAAAUCGUCUGUCACUUCCCCAAAUCUUCAUCCUUCAUCCGAUCAUCGUCCACACGCUUGUUUGUCUGUGGGCUCGUUCAUCCGUCCGGGCCAACCCAACUUUCGUUUACCCGCGCGCUUGUUCGUCUAAUGGAGGUUUAUAUCUUUCACUUGAUUUAUUUAAAUGAUGAAGAUAUUUUGUUAAAUGAUGAGGAUAUUUUAUUAUAUUUUGUUAAAUGAUCACUUCUGUUCGUUCGCGCGCUCGAUUCACUAGGAUUUCAAAGUGGGAGAGAGACAAUCCUGAGCCUUUUCUCGUCUCUGAGGUGCCACUACAAGCAGACCUCGCCAAUGAAAGCUACUGCCGCUGAUUCUAUUGGUGUUUUUUGGGGACUCAGUCAAGCAUCAUUUCUAGCGAAUCGAACCAUUGGUCGAUCUCAUCACUGCCAUUUUCUCAUCGUUGAGUUGCCUGGGAGUUUCAGGAAAAUAGUCGUUCUUAAAUAUCGUAGAAUUGAAUCGCGGUGGCUAUGGAAAGCCGAACCUGUCGAUCCCGAAGCCCUUUCGAGUGGUGUCAUCCACGAAGAUUUUUUUUUUUUUUUUUUUAAAUGACUAUCUCCCAACGAUUCCAAUACAAGCGUCAAGAGUUCCAGUAACUCCCGAUGCUUCAUAUACUACAUCGGAAGUUCUAAUAACUCCCAACGCAGUAUAUGUAGCAUCGAGAGUUAUUAGAACUCUCGCUGGUAUAUGUUUCCAUGUCGGGAGUUUCUCUUCCGACGAGUAUCUCCCGACCAAACUUCCGAUGACGAGUUUUUCCUCGAGAAUGGAUCUC
Molecule: long non-coding RNA, 2280 nt
Organism: Benincasa hispida (wax gourd)
Lineage: Eukaryota; Viridiplantae; Streptophyta; Magnoliopsida; Cucurbitales; Cucurbitaceae
Source: RefSeq, a predicted model, not a curated record